This 273-nucleotide ribosomal RNA is filed under the name uncultured bacterium. RNAcentral's name for it is "partial 16S ribosomal RNA". It matches the Rfam family "Bacterial small subunit ribosomal RNA", at positions 87 to 354 of the family's 1533-position model. The record is from RNAcentral.
CGUAGAGUCGGCGGGACGGGUCGAGUAACGACGUGGGCGAACCUAGCCCACUACAGGGGGAGUAACAGCCGGAAACGGCUGCUAAAACCGCAUAAGCGCACAAGGGCCGCAUGGCCUGGUGUGAAAAACUCCGGUGGUAUGGGAUGGGCCCGCGUCUGAUUAGCUAGUUGGCGGGGGAGAGGCCCACCAAGGCGACGAUCAGUAGCCGACCUGAGAGGGUGGCCGGCCACAUUGGGACUGAGACACGGCCCAAACUCCUACGGAAGGCAGCAG